AUGAACGCUGGCGGCGUGCCUAAUACAUGCAAGUCGAGCGAACGGACGAGAAGCUUGCUUUUAUGAUGUUAGCGGCGGACGGGUGAGUAACACGUGGAUAACCUACCUAUAAGACUGGGAUAACUUCGGGAAACCGGAGCUAAUACCGGAUAAUAUUUUGAACCGCAUGGUUCAAAAGUGAAAGACGGUCCUGCUGUCACUUAUAGAUGGAUCCGCGCUGCAUUAGCUAGUUGGUAAGGUAACGGCUUACCAAGGCAACGAUGCAUAGCCGACCUGAGAGGGUGAUCGGCCACACUGGAACUGAGACACGGUCCAGACUCCUACGGGAGGCAGCAGUAGGGAAUCUUCCGCAAUGGGCGAAAGCCUGACGGAGCAACGCCGCGUGAGUGAUGAAGGUCUUCGGAUCGUAAAACUCUGUUAUUAGGGAAGAACAUAUGUGUAAGUAACUGUGCACAUCUUGACGGUACCUAAUCAGAAAGCCACGGCUAACUACGUG
Molecule: ribosomal RNA, 496 nt
Filed under: uncultured bacterium
Lineage: Bacteria
Description: partial 16S ribosomal RNA
Rfam family: Bacterial small subunit ribosomal RNA
Source: RNAcentral